CCUACGGGUGGCAGCAGUGAGGAAUAUUGGUCAAUGGACGGAAGUCUGAACCAGCCAUGCCGCGUGCAGGAAGACGGCUCUAUGAGUUGUAAACUGCUUUUGUACAAGAGUAAAACUGAACACGUGUAUUCAGCUGAAAGUACUGUACGAAUAAGGAUCGGCUAACUCCGUGCCAGCAGCCGCGGUAAUACGGAGGAUCCAAGCGUUAUCCGGAUUUAUUGGGUUUAAAGGGUGCGUAGGCGGAUUGUUAAGUUAGGGGUGAAAUGUUCGAGCUUAACUCGGGAACUGCCUCUGAUACUGGUGGUCUUGAGUGUAGAUGCGGUAGGCGGAAUGUGUGGUGUAGCGGUGAAAUGCUUAGAGAUCAUGCAGAACACCGAUUGCGAAGGCAGCUUACCAAUCUACAUCUGACGUUGAGGCACGAAAGCGUGGGUAGCAAACAGGAUUAGAUACCCCAGUAGUC
Molecule: ribosomal RNA, 460 nt
Filed under: uncultured bacterium
Lineage: Bacteria
Description: partial 16S ribosomal RNA
Rfam family: Bacterial small subunit ribosomal RNA
Source: RNAcentral